RNAcentral lists this microRNA (24 nucleotides) under Ananas comosus (pineapple). RNAcentral's name for it is "microRNA s1690_c106b". Lineage: Eukaryota; Viridiplantae; Streptophyta; Magnoliopsida; Poales; Bromeliaceae. The record is from RNAcentral.
AUCGAAACGUCGCUAAACUAAACC